This 588-nucleotide ribosomal RNA is filed under the name uncultured Erwinia sp. RNAcentral describes it as "bacterial SSU rRNA". It matches the Rfam family "Bacterial small subunit ribosomal RNA", at positions 928 to 1516 of the family's 1533-position model. The record is from RNAcentral. Lineage: Bacteria; Pseudomonadati; Pseudomonadota; Gammaproteobacteria; Enterobacterales; Erwiniaceae.
AGCGGUGGAGCAUGUGGUUUAAUUCGAUGCAACGCGAAGAACCUUACCUGGCCUUGACAUCCACGGAAUUUGGCAGGGAUGCCUUAGUGCCUUCGGGAACCGUGAGACAGGUGCUGCAUGGCUGUCGUCAGCUCGUGUUGUGAAAUGUUGGGUUAAGUCCCGCAACGAGCGCAACCCUUAUCCUUUGUUGCCAGCGAUACGGUCGGGAACUCAAAGGAGACUGCCGGUGAUAAACCGGAGGAAGGUGGGGAUGACGUCAAGUCAUCAUGGCCCUUACGGCCAGGGCUACACACGUGCUACAAUGGCGCAUACAAAGAGAAGCGACCUCGCGAGAGCAAGCGGACCUCAUAAAGUGCGUCGUAGUCCGGAUCGGAGUCUGCAACUCGACUCCAUGAAGUCGGAAUCGCUAGUAAUCGUAGAUCAGAAUGCUACGGUGAAUACGUUCCCGGGCCUUGUACACACCGCCCGUCACACCAUGGGAGUGGGUUGCAAAAGAAGUAGGUAGCUUAACCUUCGGGAGGGCGCUUACCACUUUGUGAUUCAUGACUGGGGUGAAGUCGUAACAAGGUAACCAAGGGCGAAUUCCAG